UGAGUGUUCGAGGAAAGCAA
RNAcentral lists this microRNA (20 nucleotides) under Aegilops tauschii. RNAcentral's name for it is "ata-miR2275a-5p". Lineage: Eukaryota; Viridiplantae; Streptophyta; Magnoliopsida; Poales; Poaceae. The record is from miRBase by way of RNAcentral.